This 26-nucleotide non-coding RNA is filed under the name Homo sapiens (human). The record is from RNAcentral. Lineage: Eukaryota; Metazoa; Chordata; Mammalia; Primates; Hominidae.
UCCCAUUUCCUGAGUGACACAGAGCA